Molecule: ribosomal RNA, 675 nt
Filed under: uncultured Bacilli bacterium
Lineage: Bacteria; Bacillati; Bacillota; Bacilli
Description: bacterial SSU rRNA
Rfam family: Bacterial small subunit ribosomal RNA
Source: RNAcentral
GAGCUUGCUUCUCCGGAUGAGUUGCGAACGGGUGAGUAACGCGUAGGUAACCUGCCUGGUAGCGGGGGAUAACUAUUGGAAACGAUAGCUAAUACCGCAUAAGAGUAGAUGUUGCAUGACAUUUGCUUAAAAGGUGCAAUUGCAUCACUACCAGAUGGACCUGCGUUGUAUUAGCUAGUUGGUGGGGUAACGGCUCACCAAGGCGACGAUACAUAGCCGACCUGAGAGGGUGAUCGGCCACACUGGGACUGAGACACGGCCCAGACUCCUACGGGAGGCAGCAGUAGGGAAUCUUCGGCAAUGGACGGAAGUCUGACCGAGCAACGCCGCGUGAGUGAAGAAGGUUUUCGGAUCGUAAAGCUCUGUUGUAAGAGAAGAACGUGUGUGAGAGUGGAAAGUUCACACUGUGACGGUAUCUUACCAGAAAGGGACGGCUAACUACGUGCCAGCAGCCGCGGUAAUACGUAGGUCCCGAGCGUUGUCCGGAUUUAUUGGGCGUAAAGCGAGCGCAGGCGGUUAGAUAAGUCUGAAGUUAAAGGCUGUGGCUUAACCAUAGUACGCUUUGGAAACUGUUUAACUUGAGUGCAAGAGGGGAGAGUGGAAUUCCAUGUGUAGCGGUGAAAUGCGUAGAUAUAUGGAGGAACACCGGUGGCGAAAGCGGCUCUCUGGCUUGUA